UGUAUUUUCUGGUUGACGGGCCAGCAUCAAUUUUGACCGCUGGAAAAAGGCUAUGGGAAUGUGGCACCUUUUGGUGUGUUAUAGCCCAUGGUCAUAUACAGCGGUUGGGAUUGAGGACCGCAG
This 123-nucleotide ribosomal RNA is filed under the name Panus neostrigosus. RNAcentral describes it as "partial large subunit ribosomal RNA". The record is from RNAcentral. Lineage: Eukaryota; Fungi; Basidiomycota; Agaricomycetes; Polyporales; Panaceae.